Molecule: ribosomal RNA, 492 nt
Filed under: uncultured bacterium
Lineage: Bacteria
Description: partial 16S ribosomal RNA
Rfam family: Bacterial small subunit ribosomal RNA
Source: RNAcentral
AGUGAACGCUGGCGGUAGGCCUAACACAUGCAAGUCGAACGGCAGCACAGUAAGAGCUUGCUCUUACGGGUGGCGAGUGGCGGACGGGUGAGGAAUACAUCGGAAUCUACUUUUUCGUGGGGGAUAACGUAGGGAAACUUACGCUAAUACCGCAUACGACCUACGGGUGAAAUCAGGGGAUCUUCGGACCUUUCGCGAUUGAAUGAGCCGAUGUCGGAUUAGCUAGUUGGCGGGGUAAAGGCCCACCAAGGCGACGAUCCGUAGCUGGUCUGAGAGGAUGAUCAGCCACACUGGAACUGAGACACGGUCCAGACUCCUACGGGAGGCAGCAGUGGGGAAUAUUGCACAAAGGGCGCAAGCCUGAUCCAGCCAUGCCGCGUGAGUGAAGAAGGCCUUCGGGUUGUAAAGCCCUUUUGUUGGGAAAGAAAAGCAGCAGGUUAAUCCCCCGCUGUUCUGACGGUACCCAAAGAAUAAGCACCGGCUAACUUCGUG